UGUGCUGCAGGGAAGGAGCCGGCUGGAUGCGGGAACGGGGACAGUGCCCCUGAGCCCGCCCCACCUUCCAGUACGGGCUGGUCCAGUCCGCCUUCCAGAGGCCACGAGGUGGCCUCCCACCUGACUUAAGCCAUUCACCACAAUAUCUGAACACGCAUCUUACUCAGAAAAUGGAUUUUGACGAGAAGUCAGGUGGUGGCCUGGGACUUCUGGACGUGAGCAAGGGUACCAGUGAGCCAUGCAGGUGCACAGAAGAGGCUCACCAUAAAUUCAUCACAGGAGAGAGACCAACCUCCUGCGAUCACAUCUUUCUCUACUGAGUUCAUUGAUUGUCGCAAAGAGCUUGGGUUUAGAAGGACAGGUUUGCCCCCUGUACUCAUCAGGAGUUGCACAAAGCGUCAACACAAUUAUUGACUAGAGUCGGGACUAGAACCCAAGUAUCAGCAUUCCUGGUGAGUGUGAUUUCCUCUGCUCGCACACCCACGUCUGUUGGCAUCUGGGACUCACAGAGUCACAUGCCUUUGCAAGGAAAGUGCCUUUCCCCAGAGCUUGAGCCCCUGUCCUGGCCAGUGUCCAUCUUUCUGAGGUUGUGGCCAAGAAGACAUUCUGAGAAACAAAGGUGUGUUCUCUUAGAAAUGUAAGUGUCGUGUAAGACAAAAAAAAAAAAGCCCACACUUGGACUUUUCUGGCUUGAAGCGAACUCGAUUAGCAACCUGGAUAUGUUGUCUGAUCGCCAUUUGGGUUGGAUCACUUAACUUUCUAUGCUUAUUUUGUCUUAAAUGAAAUAGGAAUCAUAACGUGCCCGUUACAGGUGCCUUGGAUAGAUAGGUAGGAGGCAGCAGUGACUUCUCGAAGGAUGUUCUCAGAGCCCCCACAGAAAAGAAGAGCAGAGUGGAGGCAAAUCACAGAGGGGGUCCAUAGGAAGCAGACAGAAGGGGGAAAACAGACUGACACUUCCCCUGCUCUCCUGAAAGCCUCAUGCCUAACUGCAGCGUCCACUGCCUGGCUGGCUCAGUCGGUAGAGCACGAGAGAUGCAUUUAGACCUAACAGAGACAUUUUUUCAGACCCCUCUGCCUCCCACCUGGGCUUGAUGUCAUUUCCCCGCUGCCAGGAUACAGCCCUAUCCCUGCUGUCCUCAUAGGUAAUGCUAAUGUUAGUCAUCUGACCCCCGGAAAUUGUUUUGGUCUAUCAAAAAAGAGGCAGACACGGUGUUAAUGAUCUCAGUUUCCCUUCAUUUGGACAUACUAAUUUAAAUUUUUGUUUUUACAACAAGGGGACUCCCUGGGUCCAGUAAGGUACUUUCCUGUAACCCAAGAGAUAAACUGAGUCAGUCCAAACCUGCAAGGUGUAGUGACCACCACCCGCGUGGACAGGUAGAAAAAAACUAGGUGUGGCUGUUAUUAAAGUCAAGGAAGCGAAAUGAGGAUUUGAUUGACUGAGCCUGUCCACCUGGCCCCCGCCCCAGCAGACCAGGGGUAUGGAGGAGAAAAUAGAUUCCUCCAUGAAGGGUCACCCCGGGGGGAUGGAUGGGUCACAGGGAUCAAAGCUCUCGGAAGGUCCGGAGGUGCAGUGGGAGGCAGGACACUGUGUGUGGACGGUGGGCGUGGAGGGCAGACAUGGAGGCAGCCAGGCGUGGUAUGACUGGCCCUGUAAGGACCUAAAGCAAUUUCUGGCUAACGGGUCUCUUCCCACCAGGGGUACAGCUGGUGUCCAUAAAGCCUCCCAUCCUCAGGGUCCUGCAUUAAGCAGACUUCUGUGAAAAGAACAAAGCAAGUGUAACUGACAGAGCUGCUGACUGGAACUUGCCUUGAGGAGCCACGGGGCUCAUUCCGUUGUCUCCAAGGGGGACUGUAAAAAUUACCGCACACGGUAGAAAAAUAUCAGUUGUGACCUUAUUCUUCUGAAUCCCAAGAUCUCUUUGGGUAACAUGCUUGAAUGUUUUAGAGUCUUAAUACCCAGAAGUUCUUUCUUGUGUUAGAUUUAGGACUUUCUUGAUGCAACGUCUUUGCCUGCAAUCAAAGUAUGCCUUUGUUUACAUACAUACAUAUUUAUCCUUAGGCACAUUUAUUUGUCUUUUUGAAUGCAUAUUUAAAAUUUAAGAGUUAUGCAGUAACUUGACAGG
Leopardus geoffroyi (Geoffroy's cat) is the source of this 2123-nucleotide long non-coding RNA. RefSeq lists it as uncharacterized. The record is from RefSeq and is a predicted model, not a curated record. NCBI's taxonomy places the organism in Eukaryota, Metazoa, Chordata, Mammalia, Carnivora, Felidae. The transcript is spliced from 4 exons.